Molecule: ribosomal RNA, 445 nt
Filed under: uncultured bacterium
Lineage: Bacteria
Description: bacterial SSU rRNA
Rfam family: Bacterial small subunit ribosomal RNA
Source: RNAcentral
GUGAGGAAUAUUGCGCAAUGGAGGCAACUCUGACGCAGCCAUGCCGCGUGCAGGAAGAAGGCGCUACGCGUUGUAAACUGCUUUUAACCGGGAAGAAACCCCAGGACGUGUCCUGGGUUGACGGUACCGGAGGAAUAAGCACCGGCUAACUUCGUGCCAGCAGCCGCGGUAAUACGAAGGGUGCAAGCGUUAUCCGGAUUCAUUGGGUUUAAAGGGUGCGUAGGCGGAGCGUUAAGUCAGUGGUGAAAUCCUGCAGCUUAACUGUAGACGUGCCAUUGAUACUGGCGCUCUUGAGUGCGCUUGAAGUGGGCGGAAUGUGCCGUGUAGCGGUGAAAUGCUUAGAUAUGGCACAGAACACCAAUUGCGAAGGCAGCUCACUAAGGCGAUACUGACGCUGAGGCACGAAAGCGUGGGGAUCGAACAGGAUUAGAUACCCCGGUAGUCC